RNAcentral lists this ribosomal RNA (443 nucleotides) under uncultured bacterium. Its description in RNAcentral is "partial 16S ribosomal RNA". It matches the Rfam family "Bacterial small subunit ribosomal RNA", at positions 338 to 795 of the family's 1533-position model. The record is from RNAcentral.
CCUACGGGAGGCAGCAGUGGGGAAUAUUGGGCAAUGGGCGCAAGCCUGACCCAGCAACGCCGCGUGAAGGAAGAAGGCCCUCCGGUUGUUAACUUCUUUUUUUCGGGACGAAACAAAUGACGCUACCUCCUUAAUAAGCCACGUCUAACUACGUGCCAGCAGCAGCGGGAAUACGUAGGUGGCAAGCGUUGUCCGGAUUUACUGGGUGUAAAGGGUGUGCAGACGGGAAGAUAAGUCAGAUGUGAAAUCCCGCGGCUCAACCGCGGAACUGCAUUUGAAACUGUUUUUCUUGAGUACCGGAGAGGUCGUCGGAAUUCGUUGUGUAGCGGUGAAAUGCGUAGAUAUAAGGAAGAACCCCAGUGGCGAAGGCAGCUGACUGGACGGCAACUGACGGUGAGGCGCGAAAGCGUGGGGAGCAAACAGGAUUAGAUACCCCAGUAGUC